Molecule: ribosomal RNA, 414 nt
Filed under: Klebsiella pneumoniae
Lineage: Bacteria; Pseudomonadati; Pseudomonadota; Gammaproteobacteria; Enterobacterales; Enterobacteriaceae
Description: bacterial LSU rRNA
Rfam family: Bacterial large subunit ribosomal RNA
Source: RNAcentral
GGGGUGAAAGGCCAAUCAAACCGGGAGAUAGCUGGUUCUCCCCGAAAGCUAUUUAGGUAGCGCCUCGUGAACUCAUCUUCGGGGUAGAGCACUGUUUCGGCUAGGGGUCAUCCCGACUUACCAACCCGAUGCAAACUACGAAUACCGAAGAAUGUUAUCACGGGAGACACACGGCGGGUGCUACGUCCGUCGUGAAGAGGGAAACAACCCAGACCGCCAGCUAAGGUCCCAAAGUCAUGGUUAAGUGGGAAACGAUGUGGGAAGGCACAGACAGCCAGGAUGUUGGCUUAGAAGCAGCCAUCAUUUAAAGAAAGCGUAAUAGCUCACUGGUCGAGUCGGCCUGCGCGGAAGAUGUAACGGGGCUAAACCAUGCACCGAAGCUGCGGCAGCGACACUAUGUGUUGUUGGGUAGGG